AAAAGUAGUGAAGCGUGUGAGCCAUGUGCCGAGAAAAGCUGCUAUUGUGUAAUGCGUGCCCGUACCGUAAACCGACACAGGUGGAUGAGGAGAGAAUCCUAAGGCCGACGGAAGAAGCAUUGUUAAGGAAUUCGGCAAAAUGACCCCGUAACUUCGGGAGAAGGGGUGCCUGCGAGAGCAGGCCGCAGAGAAUAGGCUCAAGCAACUGUUUAGCAAAAACACAGGUCUAUGCGAAACCGAAAGGUGAAGUAUAUGGGCUGACGCCUGCCCGGUGCUGGAAGGUUAAGAGGAGAGGUUAGCGUAAGCGAAGCCUUGAAUUUAAGCCCCAGUAAACGGCGGCCGUAACUAUAACGGUCCUAAGGUAGCGAAAUUCCUUGUCGGGUAAGUUCCGACCCGCACGAAAGGCGUAAUGAUUUGAGCACUGUCUCGACAAUGCAUCCGGUGAAAUUGAAGUACCAGUGAAGAUGCUGGUUACCCGCGCCAGGACGGAAAGACCCCAUGGAGCUUUACUCCAGUUUGAUACUGGGAUUCGGUACUGCAUGUACAGGAUAGGUGGGAGACGAAGAAGGAUGGACGCCAGUCUGUCCGGAGUCGCUGUUGGGAUACCACCCCUGUAGUACUGGGUUUCUAACCAGUUGCCAUGAACUGGCAAUGGGACAAUGUCAGGCGGGGAGUUUGACUGGGGCGGUCGCCUCCGGAAGGGUAUCGGAGGCGCUCAAAGGUUCCCUCAGAAUGGUUGGAAACCAUUUGAAGAGUGCAAAGGCAGAAGGGAGCUUGACUGCGACACCGACGGGUGGAGCAGGUACGAAAGUAGGACUUAGUGAUCCGGUGGUAUAAAGUGGGAUUGCCAUCGCUCAACGGAUAAAAGCUACCCUGGGAUAACAGGCUUAUCACUCCCAAGAGUUCACAUCGACGGAGUGGUUUGGCACCUCGAUGUCGGCUCAUCGCAUCCUGGGGCUGUAGCAGGUCCCAAGGGUUGGGCUGUUCGCCCAUUAAAGCGGUACGCGAGCUGGGUUCAGAACGUCGUGAGACAGUUCGGUCCCUAUCCGGCGCGGGCGGAGGAUAUUUGAGAGGAGCUGUCCUUAGUACGAGAGGACCGGGAUGGACGGACCACUGGUGUAUCUGUUGUCGACCAACGGCAUGGCAGAGUAGCCAAGUCCGGAAGGGAUAAACGCUGAAGGCAUCUAAGCGUGAAGCCCCCCUCAAGAUGAGAUAUCCCUCCUUCGGGAGUAAGACCCCUUGAAGACUACAAGGUAGAUAGGGCAGAGGUGGAAGCAUGGCAACAUGUGGAGCUGACUGUUACUAAUAGGUCGAGGGCUC
This 1320-nucleotide ribosomal RNA is filed under the name metagenome. RNAcentral describes it as "bacterial LSU rRNA". It matches the Rfam family "Bacterial large subunit ribosomal RNA", at positions 1579 to 2925 of the family's 2925-position model. The record is from RNAcentral.